This 66-nucleotide transfer RNA is filed under the name Anthocharis bambusarum. RNAcentral describes it as "tRNA-Cys". Lineage: Eukaryota; Metazoa; Arthropoda; Insecta; Lepidoptera; Pieridae. The record is from RNAcentral.
AGUCUUAUAUUCAUUGUUAUGAUAUAAAAUUGCAAAUUUUAAGGUGUAUGAAAAUUACUAAGGCUU